This is a non-coding RNA of Pelodiscus sinensis (Chinese soft-shelled turtle), 485 nucleotides long. The record is from RefSeq and is a predicted model, not a curated record. NCBI's taxonomy places the organism in Eukaryota, Metazoa, Chordata, Testudines, Trionychidae.
UGUAAGAAAGCCCUACAAAACUAAAAGAAAAAAAAUGUAGCCAAAAGCAACUCAGGUGUGGAGACAGCUUAAUUCUUCCACCCCCAGAUCACGAAAGGCCAUGCUAGGGAGGGGUGCCUAAAGUCUUCAAUGAUCUAUUAUGUUAGAGUUGCAGUGAUCAAAUUCACCUGUUAGCUACUAUGUUGAAGUUGUUUGAAACAAUGAGUUAGGAGGGUAUAAAAAACCUAGGUAUGGUGGCAACUGCCCUUUUCAACAGAAACUUUCUUGAAUGGCUGCUGGACUGCAACAGGAGAAGUGUGAUCUGUUUAACAUGGAACCAGUAAUUUUAAGCUGCAGUUCACCACCAGGCCAAGGCCCAAGCACACAUGGGGGGGAACAGAACAAGCAUGUGCCUGCAACACUUUAUCCCAUAGUGAAAGUCCCAAAUAUACAUAGGGGAAAACAGAAUAGCCCUGUGCCAGCAUGCCUUUACCCUGUGGUAGAAG